This is an RNA transcript of Abrus precatorius (Indian licorice), 2709 nucleotides long. It is a transcript of the gene named solute carrier family 40 member 3, chloroplastic, with no coding region annotated. The transcript has 13 exons. The record is from RefSeq and is a predicted model, not a curated record. NCBI's taxonomy places the organism in Eukaryota, Viridiplantae, Streptophyta, Magnoliopsida, Fabales, Fabaceae.
AAGUCAAAAUCAAAUUCGAAACCGAACACCGCAAGAGAAAACGAAAAAGGGUGUGAAACAUGAUAGAACGACACUGCCACGUGGGCGCUUAAAAGGCCUCUUCGUAAAACGGCCACACAAACAACACCAGUUGCACUCUCCGCCCAGGCACAAGAACGAAAAUCCAGGCUAAGAGUGGACGCUCCCACAUUCCCAAACGUCACCGUAUCCUUAAAGAUAAGGCUUACGCAAACACACUGAAAUUCAUUUGCAUCAUCUCUCUCGAUUCAACGAGUGUUGUGGGUUUCUUUGUUAUUGGGAUGAGCAUUGAAGCAAAAGGGGUGUUUUCUGCGUAGUGGUUUUGGGACUGCAUCUGCAACUGCAUGAGUUGGGCAAAACCUAGGUGGCUCUUCAAGUUUGUUAGCUUGAAGUUUUACAAGCAGCUCCAACUAUGGCUAUUGCUACGGCCACCUUCUCUCUCCAUUUUGGCAAAUUCCCCAUUCGUCAAACUCACUCAUCGUCUCGAAUACGCCAUCGCUUCUCUUCUGGCCGAGGGUUGAAUCUCACUUACCCUUGUGCCUAUCACAGGUUUUCCUGUUUGAGUUCCAAAUGUUCAAUAACGGAUACUGAUGUGCAUUUGGAUUGCGUUGGCGAGGAGGAAGAUGGAGGAGGGUCUUCUGUGGUUGAGCCUCCCUGUCCGGUGUCGUUCGUAAAACUCAAGACUGAUAUUCUGGAAACUGAGUCUUUGAAUCUUCUCUCCCAAGCUGCAUUUGUAGAUACUCUCUUGACAUCAUUGCCUGUUUUGUCUGAAGAGGAGCAACAUGCACUUUCAGCUACUCCAGCUCACCCUGCUGGGUUACACGCUUUCUAUGCUAGUUGCAUAGCCGCAAAUGUUGUUGAGCAGCUUUGGAAUUUUGCUUGGCCUUCUGCCAUUGCCUUGAUUCACCCAAGCCUUUUGCCAGUUGCUGUGAUGGGUUUCUUCACCAAAGUGGCAAUAAUUGUUGGCGGUCCCUUGGUUGGCAAAGUGAUGGACCAUUUUCCUAGAAUGAUUGCUUAUAAUUGCUUAACUAUCACACAGGCUGCUGCUCAGUUGCUAUCUGCAGCAAUGAUUAUUCAUGCCCAUUCUGUGCAUCAUACUUCGUUGUCUACACUUCUUAUGCGUCCAUGGUUUGGUAUAUUGGUUUCGGCUGGGGCUAUAGAGAGGCUUUGUGGUGUAGCUUUGGGCGUUGCAAAUGAGCGUGACUGGGUUGUGUUGCUGGCAGGAGUGAAUAGGCCGGUUGCACUUGCACAGGCAAACGCUGUCCUAAACCGAAUUGAUCUCCUCUGUGAAAUAGCUGGGGCAUUGCUGUUUGGGUUCCUUCUUUCCAAAUUUCAUCCUGUAAUCUGCUUAAAAUUUGCUUCUGGCUUAAUGAUGGGGCUUCUGCCUGUGACAAUUGUUUUCACUUAUUUAGCCAACAAGCUUUCUACUGGUGUUCUUGACCGGCCUAAACCUUCACAAACCUGUUGCAGAACAUUUAAUGAAGAUUCUACCACUGAUGCUGACAGUAUAGUGUUUAAGGGUCUGGAAGCCAUCAAGCUUGGCUGGAAGGAAUAUCUGGGUCAGCCAGUUCUUCCUGCUAGUUUGGCAUGGGUGCUCCUCUACUUUAAUAUUGUUCUUGCACCCGGCAGUUUGUUGACAGCAUUUUUAACACAGCGUGGUUUACAUCCAUCUAUCAUAGGAGGAUUCAGCGGAUUGUGUGCUUUUAUGGGUGUUGCUGCAACAUUUGUGUCUUCAACUCUGGUCAAGCAGUUUGGCAUUUUAAAGGCUGGGGCAGUUGGGUUGGUGUUUCAAGCUUUACUUCUCAGCAUGGCUGUUGCUGUAUAUUUGAGUGGAUCAAUUUCAAACCAGAGCCCUCUUUUUAUUUUCUUAUCUCUGAUUGUAAGUCACUAUUUUUAUUUUUUUUUGUCGCUGAUUAUCUUUGUUGUAGUUUACAAACUAUAGCGGUGUUAUCAUGAGAAGUGGGGUCAUUCUGAUAGGGAUUCAAGUACAGCUUAUACUGAAUUAGGGAGAUUUUGUCACGGUUAGGACACAUGUCAUAUGAUGUUGUUGGGGCACAGAUUCUCCAAACAGGUAUCCCAUCAUCCAAAGCAAAUCUCAUUGGGACAACAGAAGUUGCUGUUGCUAGUUUGGCAGAGUCUAUAAUGCUGGGCGUUGCAAUAAUUGCAAAUGAUCCUUCUCACUUUGGAUGUUUAGCACUGUUGUCUCUUCUAUCUGUGGUUGGCGCAGCAUGGAUGUUCUGUAGAUGGUUGUUGAAUCCCACAGAUGAACAAAAAAGUCUUUUUUCUUAUGAUCCUCAAUUUUGAUAUCUAUUUGUUCCAUAAGCUGCCUUAGUGCAAAGGCUGUUUGAUGUGGACAAGAACCAAAUUAUAUUGGAAAUAAUUAGCGUGGUGGGUGAUUAUCCACUUAAUACCGGAGCUUGAGGCAUUUUCUUCUCACCUGGCCAAUGAUAUUUAUUUCAUUGUAUGGACAGAUAGAUGGCUUUGCCUGUAAUUCUGUAAAUGUGUAGCAUGCCUUCAUACUAUAUAUUAGUGUACAUGACGAAUCAAAUUAGCUAGGUGCGUAGGUCCAACACACAAACGUUGUUUUGUAAAGCAUUUUUUUUUUUUUAAUUCUUUCCCGGUGUCUAAAAAUAUAAACAGACUUGUUCCGGUGAUUGUGAUAAGUUCAAUGAUUCCUAGUGAAAUUCCACG